This 465-nucleotide ribosomal RNA is filed under the name uncultured Klebsiella sp. RNAcentral's name for it is "bacterial SSU rRNA". It matches the Rfam family "Bacterial small subunit ribosomal RNA", at positions 338 to 795 of the family's 1533-position model. The record is from RNAcentral. Lineage: Bacteria; Pseudomonadati; Pseudomonadota; Gammaproteobacteria; Enterobacterales; Enterobacteriaceae.
CCUACGGGUGGCAGCAGUGGGGAAUAUUGCACAAUGGGCGCAAGCCUGAUGCAGCCAUGCCGCGUGUGUGAAGAAGGCCUUCGGGUUGUAAAGCACUUUCAGCGGGGAGGAAGGCGGUGAGGUUAAUAACCUCAUCGAUUGACGUUACCCGCAGAAGAAGCACCGGCUAACUCCGUGCCAGCAGCCGCGGUAAUACGGAGGGUGCAAGCGUUAAUCGGAAUUACUGGGCGUAAAGCGCACGCAGGCGGUCUGUCAAGUCGGAUGUGAAAUCCCCGGGCUCAACCUGGGAACUGCAUUCGAAACUGGCAGGCUAGAGUCUUGUAGAGGGGGGUAGAAUUCCAGGUGUAGCGGUGAAAUGUGUAGAGACCUGGAGGAAUACCGGUGGCGAAGGCGGCCCCCUGGACAAAGACUGACGCUCAGGUGCGAAAGCGUGGGGAGCAAACAGGAUUAGAUACCCGUGUAGUC